AAUAGAACUCUAGAAUCUUUCUAAUUAUAGACAUUCACCUUAAAUAGGAGAUUUCAUAACAUCUUUAAUAUUUUUUUUUCUUUUUACAACAUGAUCAACAUUCUCAUAAAAUACUACUUAAAAGUUAACAGAGAAAUACUGAGAGGCAAUAAGUAAAUAAAUAAAAGUCGUGAACUUAACAUUAUGAUUCGAAGCUUGAUUCCAAGAUUGAAAACCUCAAACUUUCAUCUAUAUAGUAAAUUUCCUUGCAUAUGCUUCAAGUAAUCUAAAUAUGCUUAAAGCCUCAUUAAUUGCUAUAAAAAAUUUAUAUUGCAGAGUUUAAGGGUUAUAUGGGAUCGCAGAAAAUAAAUAUAACAAUGAAGAACGCAAGCUAAACAAUGAAAACAACAGGAAACAACCGCAAAGCAGCAGCAAAACAAGUAGCAAAUUCGUGUUUAAACAACCCGAAAACUUAGAGAAGAAACCCAGAAACGAACUCUAAAGAAGACUUAUACUUUUCUAAAAGUUUGUAUUCUCAGAUUCACUCCUAAAGCUCAUCUUUUCAGCUUACCUUUUUUUAAGUUCAGUUGCUGAUUUUUACUCCUAAAAUUAUAUUUUUUUAGUGUGUAAAAUGUCUAGCCAAUAUAUGAUCGAGUGUGUGUGUUUAGUGUGAAAAAUGACCUCUUUAAGUAGGAAACAUAGAUCUUUAAGUAAGAGACGGCUAUCUAGGAUUUCAAUUUCACAGAGCUUAGAGGGGUUUUUGAGGAUUUGGGGCUCGGAUUAGGAGUUAGGGGAGUGAGAGGAAGAGAUGGUGAGAUUUUGGAGUGGAUUGGAGGUUGGUUGCCGCCGAUGGUGAAUUCCGACGGACGGCGCUAGGCGGCGACAUGCUGAGCUGCUGGGAGGAGAAAGAAAAGAGAGAGAAAGAAGAGAUGGGAGAGAAGAAGAGA
This 926-nucleotide long non-coding RNA is filed under the name Nicotiana benthamiana. RNAcentral describes it as "long non-coding RNA (NBEN_LNC008240)". The record is from RNAcentral. Lineage: Eukaryota; Viridiplantae; Streptophyta; Magnoliopsida; Solanales; Solanaceae.